GAAGGUGAAAUUUUGUUGAUAAGGUGAAAUUUUUAAUGCAAGGGAAAUUCUUAAAAAAUCUGUUGAGACUAAAAAAUUUAGGUAAAAAACCAGGAUUAGAUACCCUGUUAUUCUAAAUAAUAAUGUAAAUAGGGUAGUAAAAGUUGUUCUUCAAACCCAAAGAUUUUGGCGGCAUCUUAUCCUAAUAGAGGAGCUUGUCCUAUAAUUGAUAGUCCCCAUUUUAUCUUACCCUUUUUUGUUAAGCUUGUAUACCGCCGUUGUCAGAUUACUUUAAAAGAACGUUUUCAGGAAAAAUAUUUUUCUUACUUCAGGUCAAGGUGCAGUUUAUAGAAGGGCAGUGAUGAGCUACAAUUUUUAAUAGAAAUACGGAUUUUAGGCUUAAAACUCAGGUGAAGGUGGAUUUAUUAGUAAAUUUACUUAAGUACAGUAAGUUGAAUAAGGCAAUAGGAUGUGCACAUAUCGCCCGUCACUCUCUUCUCAAGGGAGAUAA
Molecule: ribosomal RNA, 490 nt
Filed under: Daphnia pulicaria
Lineage: Eukaryota; Metazoa; Arthropoda; Branchiopoda; Diplostraca; Daphniidae
Description: partial 12S ribosomal RNA
Rfam family: Microsporidia small subunit ribosomal RNA (bases 132-490)
Source: RNAcentral